RNAcentral lists this ribosomal RNA (334 nucleotides) under uncultured bacterium. Its description in RNAcentral is "bacterial SSU rRNA". It matches the Rfam family "Bacterial small subunit ribosomal RNA", at positions 44 to 395 of the family's 1533-position model. The record is from RNAcentral.
UCAGGCCUAACACAUGCAAGUCGUACGAGAGUUUUUAACUCUAGUGGCGGACGGGUGAGUAACACGUGAGAAUUUGCCUUUAGGAGGGGGACAACAAUUGGAAACGAAUGCUAAUACCCCAUAUGCUUUCGAGUGAAAUGGAUUUUAUCCGCCUAGAGAGAAGCUCGCGGCUGAUUAGCUUGUUGGUAAGGUAAGAGCUUACCAAGGCGACGAUCAGUAUCUGGUUUGAGAGGACGAUCAGACACACUGGAACUGAGACACGGUCCAGACUCCUACGGGAGGCAGCAGUGGGGAAUUUUCCGCAAAGGGCGAAAGCCUGACGGAGCAAUACCGC